GGCCUUUAAAGAUUGUAAAUAAAUAUGAAUAACAUAAACAUGUUUUCAUUAGAAAAAAAUGACGUAUGAAUCUCCUUGACUUGUUUAUUGAUUUGAAAUCAAUUAUGAUUACUUUAGGUACACUGUCCGAUUUCCUGACGAAGCGAACUUGUUUACUUCUAUAAAUCAUGAUUCACGGUGUACUGAGUCAGUCCAUAGUUCUGCAUCUGUUAUUGCAUGGCACUGUAAGUGUGUUAAUAGAAUUUAUAGAUCUCACAAUAAUCAUAACGUUUGAUAGGUUAUAUAAUUGGGAAUGAUUGCGUUCAGUUCAUUGAGGGCUAAAUCUUGUCAAUAAGGGCAGAAGUUGAAAAUGUAUAGUACAUAAAAUGAGAGAGAAAUUUGGAAACAGAGUAAAACUAUAAUACAAAAGGAAGGAGAAGAAAAAGAUGCUUUAUUUCCAUCAUAUCUUUAUAUAUACUUUCAAAUGAAUUGGUUGGAGCUGUUUUAAUCAAAGUUAUUUUAAUUUUUGCCGAGUAAUGACCGAAGUCAAUUGACGACAUUAUAUUAAUUUCUUGAUAUAUAAAGUUU
This 567-nucleotide long non-coding RNA is filed under the name Mytilus galloprovincialis (Mediterranean mussel). Lineage: Eukaryota; Metazoa; Mollusca; Bivalvia; Mytilida; Mytilidae. The record is from RNAcentral.